Long non-coding RNA from Canis lupus familiaris (dog), 10223 nucleotides. RefSeq lists it as uncharacterized. The record is from RefSeq and is a predicted model, not a curated record. NCBI's taxonomy places the organism in Eukaryota, Metazoa, Chordata, Mammalia, Carnivora, Canidae. The transcript has 12 exons.
CGGGGGGCGGGGGGGCUGCGCGUUCCUCACCGCCCCGCGCGUGCGCAGUAGCGGCCGGCACAGGGCGCCGCGCAGGUGACCGUUUUGCUCCCUACGUAGGGGGAAGGGGAGGAGGACAAAACUAUCCCAGGCAAAAACAACAAAAACGGAGAGGGACGUAUUACGCUCACCUGCAAAGGAUUUAACAGAAGGCAGAGCUAUGCAGUAAUUACACCAUGUGUUUCUGUGCAAGCUUUACGGACUGUGUUCUGGGAAUGUGCCAAGAGAUUCCACUUCACAACGCCAUAACAAAUGGAUGUGGAAUAAAAGAAUGACAGGUGUUAAGGAUGGAGGAUUCACCGCUUCUCUGAAAUUUAGGACAUCCUUCUCUUCACUUAUGCAGCGGGAAACGGGAUAUAGUCAAGUGCACGGCUCACGCUUACUUGCAGCUGUUUCUAUCAAGCCACUGAAACUCAGAUUCCUGGUGUCAGUCCAAUGUGAUGACACCCUAUGAGCACUUGCGGGAAUUUGUUUCCAGCAUUCAAAGAACGUCCACCCGCCUGUAUGCAUAGGCCUGCUUUGGUAGACCAGCCGUUUAUCAGUUCCUUUGUGUAAGCAGACCUCACCUUACCAGCAGUGUUGUAUACGAGGUGUGGAGGACACUUACCAUUAGAAAAAUUUCGAUGCCAUACAUGUUGCAUUAUACUUCUGCUGGGCACGGUGUACCUGACUCUGGGUUCUAGGAGGCAGAGGUUAUAUAUUUUUAUCAAAGUGGAUGCUAUACAUGGUGUUUCAUGACUGGCCUUCUCUACUGAGCCUCACCUGUGGAUUCCUGCCAGGCUACAGACGGAAACCAGACCUCAGUGCAAGAGGAAGACGAAGCACAGGCAAUUUCCUUCCCUCUCUCCUGCACCUCAUUGAGAUGACUGGCAGGGACUAGCGGAGACUCUGACAUUUUGGAGAAGGGGGCAAGCAGGUGGAGAUGUUGGUGAAGGAAGCUGCAUCCCAGAAGAGAGAUUGCUGACCCUUGAAAUAGUGCAUGAAUGAAUAACCUCAAAAACUGUCCUAAGAGAAAAAAGCCAGACACCUAAGAUGAUUCCACAUGAUUCCAUAUGUGAACAGGCUGGAGACAGAAGCGGCUCAGUUGUUGCUGGUAGUGGGAAGCCAGUGUGGCAGCUGGCAUGGACACCCACCGAUGCCAGCAUCCAACCAUGCCUGCUUGGUGUGUAUGACCUUCCGCCAAGGACUCUGCACUUCUGUUUGGUUCCUGUGACCCUUUUGGCUGAUCAAAGAUGGAAGAUGGAGCUCCUGCUGGACAUGAAAAUAAUUCUACCCUAAAACCUAUUUAUGGACAUUUUACCUAUACUUCUUUGGAUUACACUCCCUGUGGCUGCUCCAGGAGUUACAUGGAAGCCCCUGCUCCCCGGUGUCUGCUGGGCCCACCGUCCAGGCAUCCUGUGUGGUGAUGUGAGGGCACAGCGGGGGUGUGCCUGGUCCCUAGGAUGCUGCUUUUACCAGAAACAACCACCCAACAAACAAGGAACAAACUCAGGAUAGUCUUACUCAGCUGUGUACCUGCCCGAGGCUGGAUUUCCUUCAUUACCUUACCCAACACCACCUAUCAUGGCUGACAGAAUGCAGAAGCUGUGAACACCUAGCAGUCUGCCAUCGAGAGUCACAAAAAGCAAAUAACACAGGCUGUAACCUAGAAGGACAAAACCCUUGGGACUGAUAGUUCAAGGGCUCCCGAGGCCGUGGAUCUGCUGCCCCAUGAGACCAAUCAUGCUACUCAGCUGCCAAGAGCCGGGUCCAUGCACUCAAGGCAGGUUUCAGAACCAACCACAUGUCACACCACACCUACCUAACACCGCAUCCUGGACAGCGCUCUCCGGGUCAUCGAGGUACACAAGGAGCUCUCUGUACAGGAACUGAAUGUUGCUUUGGUAGUAGGACUUCCCAUCAUCAUUCUUGAUACACGCCAGCCAUGUGACCAAGGCAGAGGUGGCAGCUAGCCUCACUUCAUGGGAAACGUCGUCCAGACGCUUCAGGAGCUCUAGAGGGAGGGCCAGACAGGACAGUGAGACAGCGACCAGUGCAGGGACUGACCCAGAGCUGGGGGCACUCACCCUUGGGCCCUGGGAACCCCAUGUCCUGUGGGGAGACUAGUGCUCACACUCAAGGGCCUGGGGGCAGCUCCCAGGACCACUGGACCACACUGGCCAGGGCAGGCGGAGGAGAACCUGGCCCUCCUUGUGCCGUAUGUGCAGGCAGGCCUGAGCUGCUCUGUACCUGUCUCCUCACCUGCAAGGCAGCCCCAGGCCUCUGUGGCUCCGAGAUGCUCAAGAGUCUGUCACCACAAGCAUCACACCCUGGCUGUCCUGUCCCCUUGAUGGGCAGACCCUUCUCUACCCCAACACACUGCGCACUCUGGGGAAGAGCUCAGGGCCUGAUGAUGAGAGCCAACACCUGUGUCUGGUUUGUUUCUGCUGAGUUCUGGGGCUGGACCACUUGGCUGCUGAACGCAGUAACCAUUUCUCCUGUGGGUAGAAACUCACUGUUCACAGGUGAGGUUUUUAUCAAACAUAUACCUUUCUCACCCCAAAGUACAAGAAAUCUCUGGCCCUGUGGCUGGGUGUCUCUGGAGACUCAGCAGUCACUGGGGCACAGAAUGAGCAGGCAGGAGGUGGAUGUUGGUGGGGAGCAGGGCAGUGGCCCCACAAUGGCAGGCGGCCUAUCCACCAGACGUAGGUAUGCAGGGCCGUGGGCCUGUGCUGUUCUACACAUGUGUGCAUGUGGCUCUUGGCUUCCUGAUGGGCAUUAACUCACAGAGAUGCCCUUUUCUAAGGAUUCUGAGCCUCAUGGAAGCACGCAUGUUUGCAAAACCUUGCAGAGACCAGCACCACCUCCCCUAGUCCUGGGACAGCCAGUGAGAAGGACACAUCACCCGUGCCUCUCGCAGGGAUUCCUGCCAUAUCCUUGCUCCUGCCAGCUCAGGCCAACUUUGGGAUGGUGUCUCCUAAGCCUCUAGUUUUAAGCAGAAGAGGUGGCUUGGAAAUUCACUUUUGUGAUCGUCUGAGGUCCGCCAUGAUGUGCAACUGCUAGUUCAGGAAGAAAAGAUAGCUUGUAUGGGGCUUGUCAGGAAGGACUUAGAGGGAGCAGCUUAGAACGUCCUCCCCUCUGCAGCCAAGCAGGCAAUGCUUCUGUAAACACAUCGCUGCCAGGAGCACAGAACUGGUGCCACAAAAUAAAGGAGCCUGCCCGAGGAAAUCCUAUUGUAAUUAAAAUAUCCCCAAAUGCCCCCAAAUGAGCAACAUUUUCACUGGCUUUUGUUUUAAAAAGUGAGCAAAAUCCCAAUGAGUCCUGACAGGCAGCAACCACACUGGCCUGGAUUUGUUCACAGAUAGAAAUAGGAAUAAGAUGUUUGGUGCCACAGAAGUAAACACAAAAGCAAAAACAAACUUGAAAGAACACAUGGGAAAGGUGACUUUGACUCUGCAUUUCAUCAAGAUGCACUACAUUUCCAGAACAUUCUGAGCCACUACCUCUUCUGAUGUUGGCCGUCUGUUUGCCACUCAUUCUGGAGCUCUGCGUGCACAGCCUGCACCUCUUCCCCUCAUGGUGACCCGAAUGGACUCAGCUCACAAAUCCCAUCUCUGCCACAUUUGGUCUCAUGCAUCCAGUGGCCCCUGCUUUGAAUCUCAUUUCCCGGAAUUCUUAAGACCACCUUCUAGAAUCACUGCCUGCUGCAGCCCAGGGAAAGUACAGGUGCUGAGGCUCCACUGUGUGGCCAGGGCCCAGGCAGGAAUCAAGAGCCUGCAGGCCACACCCAGUGCCAACCUUGCUCCUUAGUCUCCACAGGGCCCCUCACUACAGUCUACCAGCAGCAUUUCUAGAAGGUCUGCUGGGCUCUUUCUCAGUCAUAUCUUGGUUUCUGUUUGCAUUUCUGUUUGAACUUGGAGGUGGGUUCUAGAAUUCACCACUCCCCUCCAGCAACAGGGGUACUUGCCAUCCUCCAUGCUAGGUUUUCCUGGUGUUUUAGGGACCCUCCGCAUCCACUAGUCUGCUCCUUCGUCUGAGAUUGUGCAGUGCCUGGGCUCCAGAGGGGUGAAAAUGUGGGAUUUGAGGCACGGCUGUGUGCCCACCCUCACCUCAAGGGAUCCCUGCCAGGUCGUGGGGCCGCACUCCCAAAUCUUGGGCACACGCCUCCUUGUUUCUUGUGCUACACUAUCUACCCAUUGAUGGUUCCUCUGUCAUGGCUGUAUUGGGAUGCAGCAUCAACCUGACUGGAGGUCAAAGGAGCAGUUUCUAGUUUCCCUAUAAAAGAAACAGCCACCAGAUAACUAGACACAUGAGGUUUAGGAAAGAAAGAUGUCCUACCAGGGUAAAUCCUGAUGAACUUAUCAGGAUCAAUGAUGCCACUGGAGGAUUUUAGAAAUCUGUUAAUGAUCUGGCACGAAAUUAAUCGAGUCAUCUGAGAAUCUUCCUCCAGGGUGGUUAGAAUAUGCGGCAUCAGUGUCUCCUGCACUUGCUGUAUCUGCAAUGAGAAGACAAGAGGGGCUGGUGACGGACCCCAGCCCAGCAACGACACUGCAUGUGGUGUGUACAUGCUGCCUGUCAUGGAAGGUGCCUGCCUCUCAUACAGACAGGAGUCUGGAAUGCUACUGUGAAAUUUUUACAUAAGAAAACUAGAACCUUGAUUUUUAAAAUCUAGAUGACUUGAACAAUCUUGUUUAAAUUGGUGAGUUGAUAAACUCAUUAUUCACAAAGUCUUAGACAUAAAUCCUACAGAGUCUGCUAUUCACUGGAAUGGCUGUCUAUUGUGCCCUACAAAAUUCAGGGGACAUUGUAACUCUGAUCAUGACAGUUGAGUGUACCAGGAGGUAGAGCUCACACAGUAGGCAAGUCCCUGGCCAGGCAUGGCAGAUGUGGGGCUAAGCAGUGACAGCAAGGCUUUCACACUGCUGUGCCUGCUUCCCUGAUCCCCAUGUGAACUGCAGGUAGGAAUCACAGUAACUCAUAAACCCCAACAUCUGCCCAACUCAGUUAGGUUCCUGUGGUUACAUUCUCUGCUCUGCAAAGAGUAACAUUUAAUAUGUAAACCUCUGAAAACCCCCAGAUAAUCAGAACACCAAAUGCUGCGGGUCACACCAGCCUGUGCUCUGCCCUUGCCUGCAGCCCCCAUGUUCCCUCCCCUCUGUGGGUUGCUGAAAGCAGGGUCUGGCCACUGCAUGCACGUGCUCCUCCCCUGGGCAGGUGCCCUUGGGAGCCCCACCUGCUCUUCCGACAGGACCUCGCUGCUGAUGAGCGCCCAGAGGCAGGACACAGCUGCCGUGCGGAUGGCUGCGGCGGUCUUCCCUGCAUGCCACUGCAGAUUGGGGACCAGGAUGUCCUUCGUCACAGUGUCGAGGUAGUGGUGGAACUGCCUGGGGUGGAAACAUGGGAGCACAGGUAAAGACAAGGGAGCCAGGCUGAGGGGAAACCUGAACCAGGGCGUGAAGGUUUCCCUGGGGCAGGUGCCCUGCAGGGGAGGAGGCAGCUAGAGGGAGAGCUGGUGGCCUUCUAGAACUCCUCCCAGCCUCUGCUGGGCCCACUCAGAGGUUCUGAGCCUCUAGGGUGCCCCCACCCCUCUGCUGCAGGGCUUUGUCAGUCUUUCCCCUUGCCUCUGAAAGAGGAGGUAGGAAGUUACCAGGCACAUUGACCAGGCUGGCAAAGUCACUUGUAGGUGUGGCCACCUCUCUCUCUCUCUCUCUCUCUCUCUCUCUCUCUCUCACACACACACACACACACACACACACACACACACAGACACAUGCCUAACUGUCCCCUGUGGGCAUGCUCCCCUCCACCCAAGGGGAGAGCACUGCAGGUCUGCACCCAGGGCCUGAGUGCUGCAGCUCAUGGAGACAUGGAUGUUCCCACCAGUAAUAAGGGCACAUCAUCUGGAUGGUGAACUCACAUAUCCCACUCUGCCUGGCCAGCUCAGGGCUGCAGAGCCACACUCUGGGCACCUUAGUAGGAGCUGCACAGAGGGGCACCUGAGUGUCCUAACGAAUCCCACUGUGCCUUCACCAUUACAUCAAAACCUGUUUGGUUCAACAAAUAAUUCAAGUUAUUUCAUUCCAAAGCAUAUUUCAAAGGUGGCUUGUGUCCCAAUACCAGCUGCUCUUGAAUACUGAAAAGGUAAAGCCUCUGGGGGGAGCCCGAGCUCCACGACACCCUUGCUUCUCCUUGCAUCCUGCGCCAUCCCUCUGGUCUGUCUCCAGCCUCAUCCCCGACUGACCCAACUUUCUGAUAAGGCUCCACCUGUUUGCUUCCAGCAGGGGGCAUCCCAGAACCAGCGAUGCAGGCAAAGGAGCAAAUCUGGUUCUGGAUGGUCUACACACACAGACACACAGACACACAGAUUAGGUUUUCAAUGUGCUUUAACUGUUAUGCAAGGAACUGCUGCUUCUUGCAAAGUGAUUCACAAGAGUCUCUUCAGAAGGACCUAACCCUGAGUCCUGUCCUCUGAGUGUCCAGGUAAAGUAGCUAUAAGAAUGGAGGGCUGAGCACUGGCCAGACUGCCGCUCGGCUGUGGGGAUACAGGCAGGGGCCUCAUGUGUGGUCAGGGUCAGUCAGAACUUGCGCCGAAAAAACAGUGACACAUCAGGGAGGAAGAUCAAGCACCUGACUUUUUGGAGUGGCUUGUCCUGUGCAUGAGAAGAUGCAUGUGGCUUUGUAGGUGGGUCCUUGCUGGAAUGAAGACGUACACGUAGGUGGUUCGCCCAGACUUCCCUCAGAACUGAUGCCACCUCAGGAGACCGUGAGUGCCCUGCUCCUCAACCCCAGCUACCUUUGUGGGCAGUGCUCUGAAGACGGACCUCCUACCACCCUUGUCACCCCUUCCCUGGUCCCUGGUCAGCCUCGAGGACCAGACGGAGCCAGGUGGUGGCCAGCAAGGCCUGUCACACAUCUAUAGACACCCUGGAGGGCAGAGGCUGCAUGUCUGGAGGUGGGGACGGCCCAGAGCAAUUAUGGAACCUGAGUGGGUCGGCCGGGACAGAUGGGACGGUGCCCAGGGCCCAAGCUUGGGGUUGUUCUGUGGGAGGGGCAGCCCUGUCCGGGGGAGGGAGCCCCCCAAAAUGGCACCUCCUCAAACCGAGGAGCCCAUCUUGUCGCUGUGGCACUUUCAUCAGGUAUUAGUGAGGCCAAGGACCCAGGAUAGCUCUCUCAACGCCUAUGCUCUGCCAACUCUGAGUGGGACCUGCAGGUGGCCAGUGGACAGGUUUCGGCAGAAUAGGGUCACCCAUUCAGGCCCCUGGAGAGGAUGUGGGGAAGCACAGGCUCUGAGGCACCAGCCGACCUGUGUCCAUACGCCCUUGGGGCUCAUCCAUGUGGACCUCUGCUGUCGGGAGGGCUCCCAGGGCUCACUUUGUCUCUUUUUAUGGCCACUGUAGGCUCAAAGCCUUGUGCAGACAAGCAUGAAACAGAAUUCCUGCAAUUUGAUGGGCUGACAGAGCCCACAGCAAAUGUCCUAGCAUGUUAGUGACAGAGCCCUGAUGGAUGUGCUCCUUCUAAGGGGAUGGGGUCCCCUCACGCCUCACUGCCCACUCUACCCCAUGGCACCCAGCUCUGCCCUGCGACGGAUUUAGGUCACUCCUGUCCUUCCCACCAGCAUCUCUGCUCUCCAUCCCUCACUGCAGAGCUGCCACAUUAGAGGUCUUUCAGUGUUUGCUGCCUCAAAGUUCUCAUGGACAGAAUCUUCUAACAGUGAUUCAAUCCAUUCUUUGUUAGGUUUGAAAGGUACCGAAAGACUAUUAAAAGUGAGAACAGCUAAUAUAUAAACCAUUAAUAGUUAAUGUUCCCUGAAACCUCUUCAUUCAAUGGAAUUUUAACGGCCACACGAAAAUGACUUGACUUCGUGUCUGUCCGACUGGGCUCUCAUUGCAGGGCUGUUUACCCAGGGAGAGCGGCUGGCGCCAGAGCCCGGGGUGACCCCAGCUCCUGUCUGAGAGGACCCCACAGAGGCCAGAGGCCAGGCAGACUUACCCCUGGGAGUCGAUGGUCUGCUUUGCAUUCAGCAGCACCCGUGACAGGCAAGAGAAGAGCCUCAGGCGCAUCUGCGGGUCUCUGGCUGGCUGGAGGCAGCUCCUAAGGAUGGGCAUGAGGUGGGGCAGCACUUCUCCCAGCGCCGGGCCUGGAAAACACACACCCAGUUCCCACGGUUCUUGCUCGCAGAUGGACAGCAGCCCACGGCUGCAGGGUCAGCACCUGUGCCGAAGGCGGGGGCCAGCACGCCCUGUCCCACCACCUUCCUUUCCUUUCCGGAUCGUGGGUGUCACUAUAAAACAUUUAACCCCCAAAUCAUGCUUAUCAUUCAACAUGGAAACUUCCUAUUUCCUUAUAUUUUCCCAGAUACUUAAAAAAAUUCAAGUUAAGCAAUAUUUUAAAGAUCAACCAAAAUAAAUUAUUCAGAACACGUAAGGUGUUUAAUAUUUGCCCCUACACUUGGCAGCCAUCGCUCUACUCAGGCGCUGCUCGAGAGCACUGGCGCAGGUCCGCCUGUAGUACCAAGGGCCUCAGACAUGAGGAAUGAUUUUCAGUACUGGAAGUGCUCUCAGUCGUGAUUGGAAUAAACAGUCCCUGGGGUGUAGACAUGCACUCUGAUUGCAUGGACACGGUCAUGGAGUGCCACUGUGGCCCCCCACUCCAGCCAGGCAGGCCCUCGCAGCACUGUACAACUGAUAGCGCCUCUCAUAGCCACCCUGCUCACAACGUGCCUGUCCAUUUGCAACAAGCCCAAAAACAAGCAAAGCAACUGGAGUCUUCUCAGAUCCUCUGUCUCAAACUGGGCGUCAAAGCCACAAGAUGGAAAAGCAAAGCCCUUUGUUGACCUGAGGCCAGGUGUGGGGUCUGGGGAAGAAAGAGAAACAAACUAGAUGGGACGAUAUGGCCCAGGAGCAGGAUACCUUCAGCACGACUGAGCACCGAAUGUUUGCUCACACCCUCUGUGGUUUAUUUUCCUUUGACAUCACACAGAAGGCCAAUGUUCAGACAAUUCUCACUGGAGGAGGAGGUGGGAUCUUUCAGGAAAGAUACCAAUCUCCUGCUUACAAGCAAGAGGAGAAAGGAGUCACUGAAUGUCUUCCUGCCCCUCCUGUAAAAACACACCUAGCUUGUGCACAUCACUGUCUCCCUUUUACCAUGUGUGCACCAAAAAUGCAUUAUUUCUAACAUGUCAAGUCUGUUAAAUGCUCUUUGUAAAAAUGAGAAAAAAACUCCUCCAACCUGCAGGGUGUUUGUCAACACUAACGGUACAAAGAAACGGGUAGAUGUGAGAUCCAGCAGGAAGUACUUGAGGACUGGAUAGACCGGUGUGCCCUGGGUGUGCCAGCACCAUGCGGGUUGUGGGGCACUGGGAAAGGAACCUCUCCAGACCAAACAGGAUACUUUCAAACAAAGAGUGUAAAUACACAGUAUUCACACUCUGAGAAAAUACUUGGUUAACUGAAGGAGAAGUGCAGAGCAGCCAUGCCACCCCCCAUACUGCCCGCCCCUCCUGCACUUGGCUGACAACCCAGCUUUUCCUGAUCAGCCUCAACGGUGUGCAGGCUUGCAGGUUCCAGUGCACUGGGAAGUGGCUUCUGGUGGCUUUCUAAAUUAGGGACAGAAACUGCCCUUCCAGGUCUGAAAGUAAUUUUUGUUGUUUUCAAGAAUCUUUUAAAAAGAAGCAUUCCAGUGAAAGCUUCCCCAGGGCUGGUCCAAUAGAGGGAUUUCCACAGGGCAGGGAGGAAGCAUGGAUGGGAGGCCCACGCAGAACACCCGUUGGCCAUGCAGCACUAAGUUCAAUGAUGCUGAGGUGUAUCUCAACACGGGCCACAUGAGAGGCCAUGACAAGGCCCAAACUUGAGGUUUAACAUCAAACCCAUACACCUGGCAGGCUUUGAGCAGCCAUGUUACAUAAAGUCUUGAAAAGUAAUCUUCUUGGCAUUUUUAAAGUUAACAUUUUGGUUCUCAAACUGCUGGUUCCCAUGGGCAGGAGAGAUGAGUCACCCCACCUCAGCUGGCUUGUGGCCCCCUGGGUCCAGCCUGGGCAUGGUGGGAACUCACCUGCAUGGGUGACUACCACAGUGAGCUGCAGCAGCUCCACGGAGUGGACAGUCCAGUCGUUCUGUGUCGCUGCCAGCCACUCCACAAGGGGGCCUAUGUGUUCUCGGUAGAGGUCCUGCCUGCUGUUGACCUCUUGCACUGUGGCCAGAGCAUCC